This 514-nucleotide small RNA is filed under the name Pongo abelii (Sumatran orangutan). Its description in RNAcentral is "processed transcript". The record is from RNAcentral. Lineage: Eukaryota; Metazoa; Chordata; Mammalia; Primates; Hominidae.
CUGCCCCAUCAGCCAUCGCUGCCUGUCCCCUCCCUGACCCUGGCACCCACGCAUCCCCUCCCUGUCUCUGUGGAUUGGCCUGUCCUGGACAUUUCAUAGAAAUGGGAUCACACGGUGCGCAGCCUUCUGUGGCUGGCGUCUCUCACGGAGUGUGACGUCCUCAGCCAGUGGAAUCCUGAAGGGCUUCGACCCACUUCUCAACCUUGUGCUGGACGGCACCAUUGAGUACAUGCGAGACCCUGACGACCAGUACAAGCUCACGGAGGACACCCGGCAGCUGGGCCUCGUGGUGUGCCGGGGCACAUCCGUGGUGCUGAUCUGCCCGCAGGACGGCAUGGAGGCCAUCCCCAACCCCUUCAUCCAGCAGCAGGACACCUAGCCUGGCCAGGGGUGCAGAGGGUGCAGGGCAGGCCCGAGCAGCUCCGUUUCCCGCGGACUUGGCUGCUGCAACGGAAGCAUUUUCCUUUUUGUAUAGGUUGAAUUUUUGUUUUCUUAAUAAAAUUGCAAACCUCAA